ACCAUUUUUGCAGGGAAGGGGAUUAAAAUCUGUGUUCACAGGCUGAGAGCAGGUGUCUGUGAUGAGACCCCAUGCUGUGACAUGGAUGCAGCACAUUCUUACAUGAAAAGCCCUGGCUGAUGAAAUGACCACAGGAAGACAACAUGGAACCCUCCCAGCACAAUCAGAAGAAGCUUAAUUAAGCUCUGUGGUUAAUUUUAAAGACUUUUUGUCAGAAGCAUGGCAAGGAACUUCAGUCUGGCUUUCAAAAGUGCUGAACACCCAAAACUCCUACCAAGGCCUCCUGGAAUUACAGGUGGGCUCUCCCUUCUGAGCCAGACUGAAAGCUUCCACAUCUUCCUGCAGAAGUUUCACAUGGGGAGGUUUUGGAGAGCUCUUAGUGGUGCAACUCACUGCAAUGCUAUUUUGAGGUGAGCAAUGCUGAGAGGGAUGCAUGCACAAGUUUUGUGUAGCUCACGGGACAGUGGCACACCACAGAGGCUUGUGAAGCAGGAUAAUAGGGACUAACUACAGUACCACUUGUUACCACUGCUAGAGAAUCCUCUGCUUUCCAUUCUGGAGAUUCCCAUAAUUAAAAUACUUUAAUUUUACAAGGCAUUUGCAGAAUGUUCAUAAUUCUGUUGACAUUUUGUCCAAAUUAUUACAUAUUCCUUGAAGGACCCAGGAUGAAGUUGCUGAAUUUUGUUUUGUAAUUAAGGUUUGAAUUUCGAAAAUGGGGCAGGGGACAAAACUGCACACUUUCUGUUAUGUUUCUUAGGCAGUUUUAACACCUUAGAGAAUUGAUGUAGCUCUUUGAACUUUGGCACAUACAUUAUCCCCAAUCACAGCCAUGGCUUUGGGUUUUCUGCGUAGUUAGUUAUCAAGAGAGAUAUUAAAUGUGAAAUAUAAGAGCACAGCAGUACCCAGUACUAUUUAUCCAAUAGUUUCAUCUAUCUCUGAAAUCCUAAUCACAUACCCUCAUAUAUAACCCUCAGUAUUUGUGCAAAAGCAGAAUUUCUUUAAAAUUACUGAUUUUCCAGCUUACCAUAGCCAUGGCUCACACUGCAUGGGGGGUAAGGAAGGUGGGAAUCAUUCCUUCUGUCUCUUUGGAUGUGCUUACAGCCCUCAUGCAUAAGCAGGCUGAGCAGAUACUUUUCAUAAAGAGAUACGUCUGCAUGGGAUUCAAACCAUGAGGGGAAGCCUUGGAGGAGAUAUGGGCCCUUGAAUGUUUGUUGACCAUGAAAACAAACGGUACCACUGGAACCAUUUAUGUGACUCAGGGUUCAGUUUUACCAGAGAUGAGCUGUUGCUGUCACUCUCAUUUUAAGAUGGAGGUGAGAGAUUUUAAUAGGCAAGAAGGCAGAAACAAAGAGGGACCACAGAGGUGAGCUUGUUAGGUCAGUAGAGGUACUGGUUGGAAGCAGAGUAAAAAAAUCAUCAGAUUCAGCAGGGGAAAAAAAAGCAAAGAAAACCAUCACUGACUUGUCAAGAUCUAAAAACCUUAUGAGAUAAGGCAGAGAAGAGGCAGGCAGUGCAUCAACAGGACUGAGCAUCUGCAUGUUCUAAGGAGAAACAAAGGUUGACACUUCUCUGCUUGAUUGACAGCACUUUGGCCAGCAGAGACUCGCAAGGUGGCUGCCCCAUGGAUACUGAGCAUAUGAAUGCUUAGCCUAAUGAUGUUAGUCCUGGCCCAUUGCUGUGUGUGUUAGCAAUAAAUAAGACUAUUUUUAUAUAUGGACA
RNAcentral lists this long non-coding RNA (1719 nucleotides) under Cyanistes caeruleus (blue tit). RNAcentral describes it as "lncRNA (ENSCCEG00000000983.1)". The record is from RNAcentral. Lineage: Eukaryota; Metazoa; Chordata; Aves; Passeriformes; Paridae.